GGGUUAGUAGGUUGGUCAUGCCUCCGGUAUGUACUGGUCUCACUGAUUCCUCCUUCCUGAUGAGCCGUAAUGUCAUUAAUUUGGUGUUGCGGGGAAUUUGGACCGUUACUCUGAAAAAAUUAGAGUGUUUAAAGCAGGCUAACGCUUGAAUACAUUAGCAUGGAAUAAUGAAAUAGGACGUUCGAUCCUAUUUUGUUGGUUUCUAGGACCGAAGUA
This 216-nucleotide ribosomal RNA is filed under the name Campeiostachys nutans. Its description in RNAcentral is "Elymus nutans partial small subunit ribosomal RNA". The stretch from base 40 to 216 matches the Rfam family "Eukaryotic small subunit ribosomal RNA", at positions 686 to 864 of the family's 1831-position model. Lineage: Eukaryota; Viridiplantae; Streptophyta; Magnoliopsida; Poales; Poaceae. The record is from RNAcentral.